This 427-nucleotide ribosomal RNA is filed under the name uncultured bacterium. Its description in RNAcentral is "bacterial SSU rRNA". It matches the Rfam family "Bacterial small subunit ribosomal RNA", at positions 355 to 796 of the family's 1533-position model. The record is from RNAcentral.
CCGAGAAUAUUCGACAAUGGGCGAAAGCCUGAUCGAGCGAUACCGCGUGGUGGAUGAAGUGCUUCGGCACGUAAACACCUUUUAUGGAGGAGGAAGUUAUUGACGUUACUCCAUGAAUAAGGGGCUCCUAACUCUGUGCCAGCAGGAGCGGUAAUACAGAGGCCCCGAGCAUUACCCGGAAUUACUGGGCGUAAAGAGUGCGUAGGUGGUCGUGUUAGUCGUUUGUUAAAAACCCGGGCCCAACCCGGGAAGUGCGAACGAAACGGCACGACUAGAGGGAGUGAGAGGUGAAUGGAACUCAUGGUGUAGGGGUGAAAUCCGUUGAUAUCAUGGGGAACACCGAAAGCGAAGGCAAUUCACUGGCACUUUCCUGACACUCAAGCACGAAAGCGUGGGUAGCGAACGGGAUUAGAUACCCGCGUAGUCC